Molecule: ribosomal RNA, 995 nt
Filed under: Lulesia popinalis
Lineage: Eukaryota; Fungi; Basidiomycota; Agaricomycetes; Agaricales; Entolomataceae
Description: LSU rRNA
Rfam family: Eukaryotic large subunit ribosomal RNA
Source: RNAcentral
CAAUAAGCGGAGGAAAAGAAACUAACAAGGAUUCCCCUAGUAACUGCGAGUGAAGCGGGAAGAGCUCAAAUUUAAAAUCUGGUAGUCUUUGGCUGCCCGAGUUGUAAUCUAGAGAAGCGUUAUCCGCGCUGGACCGUGUAUAAGUCUCCUGGAAUGGAGCGUCAUAGAGGGUGAGAAUCCCGUCUUUGACACGGACUACCAGGGCUUUGUGAUGCGCUCUCAAAGAGUCGAGUUGUUUGGGAAUGCAGCUCUAAAUGGGUGGUAAAUUCCAUCUAAAGCUAAAUAUUGGCGAGAGACCGAUAGCGAACAAGUACCGUGAGGGAAAGAUGAAAAGAACUUUGGAAAGAGAGUUAAACAGUACGUGAAAUUGUUGAAAGGGAAACGCUUGAAGUCAGUCACGUUGGCUAGGAAUCAGCCUUGCUUUUGCUUGGUGUAUUUCCUGGUUUUAACGGGUCAGCAUCAAUUUUGACCGGUGGAAAAAGGUCGAGGGAAUGUGGCAUCUUAGGAUGUGUUAUAGCCCUUGGUCGUAUACAUCGGUUGGGAUUGAGGAACUCAGCACGCCGAAAGGUCGGGUUUUCGAACCACGUUCGUGCUUAGGAUGCUGGCAUAAUGGCUUUAAUCGACCCGUCUUGAAACACGGACCAAGGAGUCUAACAUGCCUGCGAGUGUUUGGGUGGAAAACCCGAGCGCGUAAUGAAAGUGAAAGUUGAGAUCCCUGUCGUGGGGAGCAUCGACGCCCGGACCAGACCUUUUGUGACGGAUCCGCGGUAGAGCAUGUAUGUUGGGACCCGAAAGAUGGUGAACUAUGCCUGAAUAGGGUGAAGCCAGAGGAAACUCUGGUGGAGGCUCGUAGCGAUUCUGACGUGCAAAUCGAUCGUCAAAUUUGGGUAUAGGGGCGAAAGACUAAUCGAACCAUCUAGUAGCUGGUUCCUGCCGAAGUUUCCCUCAGGAUAGCAGAAACUCAUAUCAGAUUUAUGUGGUAAAGCGAAUGAUUA